AGUCGGUUCGUUUCGACAGAGAGCACGCGACGCAGGAAGCCAAGAAUAUUUGCUACCUGGCCCGUUACAGAAAAAGUUGGUCCACUCUCGAAGAAAAACGAAAUAAUUCCUUGUCAGCUACAGUCACAAGUAACUCUUGAUGGAGUCGCAGGCGUUGUUGGAGGAGCCGGGCAUCCAGCAGCGAGGACCACAGCUGAGACUUUCCGCCCUCGUGGAGGUGACGCUCCAGUCAAGGGAGAAAGACGGCCAGCAAAACAAAGAAGGAAAUCACACUCUCUGCAGGUGGCGAGUGUUAGGGAAAAGAAAAAGGGGGUGGGGAGGGUCAGAAGGACAAUUGAAAUGAAGCGGUCAAGGGCAGACGCCGUGAAGACUUAAAAACCAUGAAGGGAAGAGCCACGUGGACUUCUGAGGGAAGAGCGUCUCAGGCAGAGGGAACAGCCAGUGCAAGGGCCCUGAGGCAGGAGCGUAUUUGCAGGUUCGAGAAGGAUCGGGGAGGCAGUGUGCUGGAGCAGGGUGAAACAGUGUGGGGUGGGGACCAGAGUAGGUUGGCGAUGGCAAGUCACCCCAUGUCGGGACUUCCAGGCCAUCGAGGGGACUCUGGUGGGAAUGAGCAGCCACAGGUGGAUUUUGAGCAGAGAAGCGACGUGAUCUGAUGUAGAUGUGAUGGGACCCCAGGUGCUGAGACGGGGUGGGGGCAGGGGAGGACAGGAACGUGGCCCUCGGGAGUCUGCACAGGGGCCGGGCUCUGAAUGUUGCGGACCAGGAUGGUGGCAGCGUCACGAGGCGGCUGGGUUCUGGGGGCAGGGCUUGCUGGAGCCCCACGUGAGAAGUGGGAGGUGAGGGAAGAAAGGGGUCGAGGACGACCUCGCUCGUGUGACCUUUGAUUCCCUGUCCCAUUCCAUCUUCCUUCCUGGCCUCCCAGUCUGGAAGCCCCAUGAAGACAGGGGCCGCCUGCCUCUCGGCCAUCACUGUACCCCCUUCACUGCAGCAGGGGGCCCCCCACCCAUAUCUCUGAGUAAAUGAAUGAGCGACGAGCGGACGGCAUGGUCGUCUGCUUCCUCGGGGCCCGUGAUGGGCUGAAGUGUGUCCCCCAAAUUCCCGUGUUGGAGUCCGAACCCUGGCACCCCAGAAUGUGACCAUAUCUGGAUCCGGGGUCUUUAAAGAGGUGAUCAAGGUAAAAUGAGGUCACUAGGGUGGGCCCUGAUCCAGUGCGACUGGGGUCCUUAUAAGAAGAGGAGAUGAGGACACAGACACACAGAGGGACGACCCUGUGAGGACACAGGGAGAAGACGGCGUCUACACGCCAAGGAGAGAGGCCUCACGGGGAACCACCUGCUGACAGCUGGAUCUCGGCCGUCCAGCCUCCAGGACUGGACCAGGAUAUAUCUCUGUGGUUUAAGCCGCGCGAUCUGGGGGACUCCGUUACAGUGGCCACAGCGGACCCACACAGGGAGUAUGGCCGAGCACCACGGAGCGAGGUGUGCCCCCCACACGGGACAGCGGACACUUGCUCUGAAGGUGCGGCUUCCGGCCAGGGCACCUGGCAGCUGGUGACUGAACUGGGCAAGGCCCUGAUCUCCUGGGGCCCACGUCCAUCCUGGGGACAUUGGACCAGGGAGAAGACAGCAUGCAUGUGGCCUCUGGAGUGGCAGGACCAUGGCCCUGGAAGGACAAGAACCCUCGCUGUCACCCAUUUGCUCGGCUGUGACAAGGCCCCAGCACCUUUAUGAGAACCAGCUGAGAGGCGCGCUGUUGUCUGGAAUCUCCAAACCCACAUUCCUGGGUCUUUGUAAUCUGCCCCACCGAGCCCCCCGUCCCCAGCCCACAGCCCCUCUGAGCACCUGCCUCGGGGCCCCUCCAACGCCUCCCACCCGCCUCUGCCACAGCCCACAUCCCAAGGUUCCAGAGCCUCAGGAUGCACGGUGGAAACUAGAUGAAGGCUCUAGGGGAGCAGGCCGGGUCUGUGGAUGUCGAGAGGUGUUCCCAACCACCCUGGGGUGGAGACAGUGCUGUCUCUGGACCCAGAGAGAGCCAGGAAAAGGAAGAGGGAGAGCCAGAGGGCAGUGACGGGAGGGGACGCCAUGGCCACUGGCCUGCAGUACGAUCUGCCUUGCUGGUGGCCCCCAGCCUGGCUGUGCUGAGUCCCCCUGCUGGUCCCCUACCUGAGAUUCUGCUCAGAGCCCACGCAGGGGAAGCGGGGUAGGCAUGGCUGCAGCGUGGGGUGGCCGCCUGCCUGGGGACCCCGCCCUGCCCGGACAUCGCCCUCACUAGGAUGUGAGCUCACGGGGGCUGGAUCUCGGCUGCCCUUUAGCUCAGGACCCGCCCAGCACACCUGGCUGGCGGCAGGUGCGUCUCCAUCAGUACCUGCUGAGUGACUGAAUGUAUGAAUGAACGAAGGAAUGAAGGACCCUAAGAACAGCUACGAGGAAAGUGCUAUCUUCACCCCACUACACGGAUGAGGGGUCAGCCACCAGUCACGUAACUGCCGAGCGGCCAGCCGUAGGGGACCUGGAUCUAACUCUGGAGCUGCAGUGAUCCACAGAAUCUCCUUCGCUUUUUCUCGCAGGGUGCUGGGCUCCCCUUCUGAGCAGCCAGCAACCCAGCAGCCUCUGCUGCCCCCACCUGAGUGGCCCCGAGGAUCGUAGGGCAGUGCUGGGGGUGGUCUCAACGGACCCCAGGCUGGCACCUGCAGGGCCUCGGGGGCAUUUGUGCAUCUCCUCCUGGCAGAGUGGGAGGAGAGGGGUCCAGGGCUCUGGGGGCCCCAUCAGCACCCUGCCCAGGGUCGCUUGGAUUGUGCUUGAGGACAGCAUUUGAGGUUUGCAGGUCUGGGGAGAGCGUGACCCCAUCUCCUGGAGUCCUGGCACACGUUAGCACCAUGAGUUUCAGGGGUGAUCAUCAUUGGCCCCCAAAGGCCUGGGAGGAUAGGAUGCCCACCUUCACGCCCAGGCCAGCUGGUGAGCAGCAGCCACGGGGUGUAGGAACAAGGAGGGCAUCGGGACCGUGGCGGAGGGGGGCUGGACUUGCGCGGACAAGCCGGGACUCUCCCAGUGAAGAGCAUUCGACAAAAUAACCCACCCGUACUCCUCAAAACAUCAGGGUUGUGCAAAGACAGACUCAGAGAGACUGGAGAAUGGGUCCAGACUCAGGAGACGGGGGAGAGGCGACAGCUGAGAGCAGCUGGGGUCCCAGUCUGGCUCCUGCACAGCGGAGAAAUAGCCCCAGAGAGCAGAGUGGGAAAAGCAAAGACACCUGAACACGGGCAGUGGACUCGAGAAAAAUACUGCAUCCGGGCAACCGCCCCGAUUUCAACAGCUGUCCUGUUGGGAGAAUGUCCAUGUUCUUAGAAAUUUACACGCAAGUGUCUAGGGGUCAAGGGGCACCAUGUCUCCAACUUACUCUCAAACGAGUCAGAGGAAAACCACGUGUGUGCGCGUGCGUGUGCGUGGAUUUCACAGAGAGAUAGAAACAUUGCACCUGCGCGUCUAUGCGUAGAGAGAAAGCGAUCGUGCGGACGGGGCCAAUGGAAGCCACUGGGGAAUCGGGUGUUGGGGCCUGUGGGAGGCCUACGGAGUCCCGUGCUCCAUCCUUGCAAUUUUUCUGCAAACGUGAAAUGACAUGAAAAUUAAAAGCUGUAGAAAAGAUGGAAGGGCCUGGGUCCCAGUUGCAGUGUUCCCAGCUGUGUGAUCCUUGGCGCCCCACCUCACCCCUUGGGCCCCCUUCUUCCCUAUCUGUCACCUGUG
Equus asinus (donkey) is the source of this 3740-nucleotide long non-coding RNA. The record is from Ensembl. NCBI's taxonomy places the organism in Eukaryota, Metazoa, Chordata, Mammalia, Perissodactyla, Equidae.